RNAcentral lists this transfer RNA (71 nucleotides) under Camelus bactrianus (Bactrian camel). It matches the Rfam family "tRNA". From Rfam's summary of the family: Transfer RNA (tRNA) molecules are approximately 80 nucleotides in length. Their secondary structure includes four short double-helical elements and three loops (D, anti-codon, and T loops). Further hydrogen bonds mediate the characteristic L-shaped molecular structure. tRNAs have two regions of fundamental functional importance: the anti-codon, which is responsible for specific mRNA codon recognition, and the 3' end, to which the tRNAs corresponding amino acid is attached (by aminoacyl-tRNA synthetases). tRNAs cope with the degeneracy of the genetic code in two manners: having more than one tRNA (with a specific anti-codon) for a particular amino acid; and 'wobble' base-pairing, i.e. permitting non-standard base-pairing at the 3rd anti-codon position. The record is from Rfam by way of RNAcentral. Lineage: Eukaryota; Metazoa; Chordata; Mammalia; Artiodactyla; Camelidae. RNAcentral also lists the same sequence under 2 other names.
GAGGGUAUAGCUCAGGGUUAGAUUGUGUGCUUAGCAUGCACAAGGUCCUGGGUUCAAUCCCCAGGCCUUCC